AGCCUCCUGCACCUCUGCGGACGCCGCGGGUUCCAACCCUGCAGAAGGAACGGAGCGGAGUGGGCUCUGCUGGUUUCCACACGCACAGCUUCCGCUUUCCCUGUUUUAAUCUUCUUAAUGCUUAAAGUAGCAAGAGUGGUUUCUUUCUCCUGCAGAUGGACCUUCUCCUGCAGAUGGACCCUCCUUUAUACAGGUAAGGAGAGAAGAGGACGCCCAGGAUAGCGUCCAGAGGAACACCAGCACUUACUACGGGCAGGGAGGAGGAGGAUCCAGAAGAGAGCUCGGAGAAGGGGCAUCACAGAGAAGGGGAAAACCCAGGGAAGUUUCAAGCACACCAUGGUUAACAACGUCAUUCUCGACUGCUGCCAGGAAGCAGGUUGACCACUAAACAGUCUAGUGCUCAGUCUGCUCAUACUUGAGCUUGACAAAAUGGCAUCGUCCUGCUCGUAGUCCUGUGCAGGGGACGCGGGUGGCAUCGUGCCAUCCUUGCUAGUCUGGUGGUGAGCCUUCCGCGACCCCUGGUUUCACUCUCCCCUUGGCAGAUGCUGGUGCUCCCUACUGGCCCUGUUUGCCAGGAGGCUUUUCAUGACCUACGAACGCAAGAUGUCUCAGGGGCCGUGGCAAACGGCACCGUCGUUCACAGUGAUUCAGUCUCCCCCUUCCCUUAGGAGCACCCCUCCUUGCCCAUCGCCAGCCAGGAGACACACUGGAAGAGGCAGGUUCCAGGGCACCCCACCGUAGCUGGGAUCCGGGGAUCAGGAGACCACCAGGGGCCCUGUGUUACAACACCUGCACAGCAAGUGACUAGGCACUGGAACAUUGCUGCUGAAACCCUGAACUCCAUGCUAUGCUGGGUGUGAGACAGGUGAAGGGGCGGGAAGGGCGCCACCUCCUCACCCCUGCAUCCCACAUCAUCUUGAGUGUGUCCCCAGGCAAGGUGGAGUCCACACCCUGAGCCUGCUCACCCAGACCACUGCUCAGCCCUCCCAGGCUUGCCUUCCCCACACACUCCUUGCCCCCCACCCCUACGCUGACCAAAAAAAGAAAAGUUGCAAAAUCCAGGUGUACGGCGCAAUGACUUAGCAAGGCAAACACUCCCUUGGCAUCACCCAAGUCAAGAACUCAAAUGUCUACCUCCCCAAACCCCGUCAUCCCCCUCCCAUCACUUCCUUCUCCCUUCUACCAAAGUGACCACAAACCUGAUUUUUGUGGUAAUCUCUUUGGUUUUUAUAAUUUUACCAAUUGUGUCAGUCCGUCCAGGAUGCUAUGACAAAGUACCACAGACUGUGGUGUUUAUAAACAGCAGAAGUUUAUUGCUCACAGUUCCUGAGACUGGAAGUCAGAAAUUAGGGUGCCAUCCGGGUGGGGGAAGGCCCUCUUCCGGGUUGCAGACUUCUCAUUGUAUCCUCACUGGUGGAAGGGGUGAGGGAACUCUCUGGAGCUUCUUUUAUAAGGGCACUAAUCCCAUCAUGAGGACCUCACCCCCAUGACCUCAUGACCUAAGCACCUCCCACAGGCCCCACCUCCUAAUACCAUUAGGGGAUUAGGUUUCAGUGAAUUUGGAGGGGACACAAACAUCCAGGCCAUCGCACGAGAUAAGCAGGCAUCCCUCAAUAUGAUGAUUUUGUUUUGUCUGUUUUCGGACUUUAUAUAAAUGGAAUUAUUCAGUAUUACAUUUUGUGUCUAGAUUCUGUGCUCAAAAUUGGGAGGUUAGGGACUUCCCUGGCGGCCCAGUGGGUAAGACUCCGCGUUCCCAGUGCAGGGGGCCCGGGUUUGAUCCCUGGUCGGGAAACUAGAUCCCGCAAGCCGCAACUAAGAAGUCCGCAUGCCACAACGAAGAUCCUGCAUGCUGCAACUGAGACCUGGUGCAGCCAAAAUAAAUAAAUAUUAAAAAAAAAAUUGGGAGGUUAAUGUGAGUCAUUGCAUAACAGUGACAUGACGGCUAUUCCCCUAGAUAGAUAUUCUGCCAGUCAUUGAGCCCUUCUAGUGUUGAGAGACAUUUGAGUGGUUUCCCACUUUAGCUAGCAUGGCUAGUGGUGCUGCCAAUACUUACGUAUGUGGUGCACAUAUACGUGCAUUUCAAUGGGUAUAUGUAUCAUCAGGUCAUAGAGUGUAUGUACUGGGUUGAAUAGUGUCCCCCCAAAUUCAUGUCCACCUGGAACCUCAGAAUGUGACUUUAUUUGGAAAAAGGAUCUUUGUGAGUAUAAUUAGUUAAGAUGAGGUCAUAGUGGAGUAGCGAGCCCUAAUCCAGCGAAUGGUGUCCUUAUAAGAAGAGAAAAAGAGACACACAGCCACAGAGAAGAGGCCAUACGAAGCUGGAAGCAGAGAUUGGAGUGAACUUGUGUCUUCAAGCCAAGGAACACCAAGGAUUGCUGGCCACCACUGGAAGCUAGGAGAGAGGCAGAUCCCUCUUCAGAGCCCCCAGAAGGAGCCAACCCUGCCGUUACCCUGACCUUGGACUUCUGACCUCCAGAAUUGUGAGAGAAUAAAUCUUUUGUUGUCUUAAC
This is a long non-coding RNA of Balaenoptera ricei (Rice's whale), 2507 nucleotides long. RefSeq lists it as uncharacterized. The transcript has 2 exons. NCBI's taxonomy places the organism in Eukaryota, Metazoa, Chordata, Mammalia, Artiodactyla, Balaenopteridae. The record is from RefSeq and is a predicted model, not a curated record.